UAUAUAUAUUAUGUUAUACGUAAUAUAUUUAGUAGAAUUUUUUCUAACAUAAACUUCUAAAAUAAAACGAGAGAUUUUUCAAGCAUUUUGAUAGUAUAUGCGAAAAAUAAUUAUCAUUAUGUGUGACUAAAUCUUACACAUAAACCGGCAAGGUUGGGUAGUAACUAGUCAAAAGUUAAAAGUUAAAAGUUAAGUUAAAAAGUUGAGAAGUUAAUAACUUUUAACUUAACUUAGUUAAUUUUAAACGUGUUAAUUUUUAACUUAAACUAGUUAUUUUUAAAUGCGUUAGUAUUAACUUUUAAAUACAUUAACUUAUUAACUUUUUUUAUACAAGUUAAAAAAAUUCAUCAAUAUUAAAGUCGUAUGAAAAUGGUUGAUCUUAAUGCGAAUAUUUCAUUUGUCGUACAAGUUUGUCGGAUGUGUAUAUUCGCUGUUGAAUAGAGAAUUAACUUUAACUGAAUUAAUUUUUGUUUAAAUAACUUUUAAUGUAAACUUAGUUAAUUUUUGCGCCAUUAAACUUAACUUAGUUAAAAAAAAAAAUUAACUUAUCCAACCCUGUAAAUUGGAUAUUAUAAUUUCUUGUUUAUUUAGAGAAAAAUACGAUUCACAACAAGUUUUCUUUUUGAUCAAUUACAAUUCAAAACCGGUCCUUCAUAUAAUUAAUGCUGCGUAAUCACAUGUGGAUUAUAAAUAGUGAACACCAGAUAGAGGGGCCGCAAAACGUGGUGAGUUGUUCAAGCGAUCAGAUUGAGUGAGAAGAUUAAAUUUGUAAAAAGACGAAAAACAUUGUAAUAAUUACAAACGGUGAAAAAAUUAGAGCCGGAUAUUACAGAAAAGUAAAAAAAAAACCUUGUGUUAUUUCAAAGAAUUUAAAACUGUUGAGAAUACAAAGUUAAAACCAUUAAGAAAUUGUAAAUAUUAUAAUAGAGUGCAGAAAAUGAUGUAAACAUCUUCAAUCUACAACACAUCAAAAAACAAGGAAGAAAUCGAAAAGAAAAAAAAGCUUAUAUAGAAUUUAUUCUAGAAUUUCGAAAAAAAAAAAUAAAUUUUGAAUAUAUGUCAUUUCGCAGUUUAAUUUUAGAUUCCGCAGAACGCGUAAAGAUUAUUUUUAUAGCACAAUGAAAAUAUUCCUUAAUGUUUUCCUGAUGAUUGUGGUAAUGGCCAUUGUGAUAUCAUCGGGAAUUUGCAAACGUGGACGGAGAUUGACAACUCCUUGUCCACGAGGAUGUGAUAAUAAAAAUAAGCUGAUUAAUACGUGGUAAAUCGAGAUCCCUCGAAUAUGUUGAGCUCAAGAUCACUAAUUCAAGAAUUGCUUAAUAAUGAAAAAACGUUGAACUAAUUUGGGAAAUAUGAAAUAAUGAAAUAAUACUUCACAAAAAAUAAAUUUUAAUUUUCUUGCUAA
Long non-coding RNA from Formica exsecta, 1402 nucleotides. RefSeq lists it as uncharacterized. Lineage: Eukaryota; Metazoa; Arthropoda; Insecta; Hymenoptera; Formicidae. The transcript has 2 exons. The record is from RefSeq and is a predicted model, not a curated record.